AUGGAGUCUGUGCUCCAUUGGGUUUUCCAUGUUGCUAUUUUAAAAGGUGGUGUCCAGGGUGAGGUGCAGCUGGUGGAGUCUGGGAGAGACCUGGUGAAGCCUGGGGGGUCCCUGAGACUCUCCUGUGUAGCCUCUGCAUUCACUUUCAGGAGUUACUGGAUAAGCUGGGUCCGCCAGGCUCCAGGGAAAGGGCUGCAGUGGGUCUCAGUAAUUGACAAAGAUGGAAGUACCACAUACCACGCAGAUGCUGUGAAGGGCCGAUUCACCAUCACCAGAGACAAUGCCAAGAACACACUAUAUCUGCAGAUGAACAGCCUGAGAGCUGAGGACACGGCUGUGUAUUACAGUGCACACACCGUGAGGGGACCACAAUCUAUAUCUCCCCAUGACAACAGCCACACCUCUUACGUUCAAAAGGAGGUUGAUUUUCCACCUGUAGACUUGCAGUGUUUGUUCUCUCAGACCUCUGAGUGA
Molecule: non-coding RNA, 474 nt
Organism: Canis lupus familiaris (dog)
Lineage: Eukaryota; Metazoa; Chordata; Mammalia; Carnivora; Canidae
Source: the annotation of a RefSeq genome assembly